CUUACCAGGUCCAGACACAGUUAGGAUUGACAGAUUGAGAGCUCUUUCUUGAUUCUGUGGGUGGUGGUGCAUGGCCGUUCUUAGUUGGUGGAGUGAUUUGUCUGGUUAAUUCCGAUAACGAACGAGACCUCAGUUUAUUAAUCAAAUAAAAAAAUAUUAACAAUAUAAGGGUUAAAGGAUUUUAGUAUUUUACUUGUAAAAUAUUAUAUUUUUUAAAACUUGUUUAUAUUUCAUUUUAUUUUCUUAAAAAGACACUUGGUGUUUAACCAAGGGAAGUUUGAGGCAAUAACAGGUCUGUGAUGCCCUUUAGAUGUUCUGGGCCGCACGCGCGCUACACUGAUAAAAUCAAUAAGUUUUUUAACAAUCACCUUAAUAGAAAUAUUUGGGUAAACUUUGAAAAUUUUAUCGUGCUGGGGAUUGACAAUUGUAACUAUUUGUCAUCAACGAGGAAUUCCUAGUAAACGUAAGUCAUCAGCUUACGUUGAUUACGUCCCUGCCCUUUGUACACACCGCCC
Molecule: ribosomal RNA, 515 nt
Filed under: Korotnevella stella
Lineage: Eukaryota; Discosea; Flabellinia; Dactylopodida; Paramoebidae
Description: bacterial SSU rRNA
Rfam family: Eukaryotic small subunit ribosomal RNA
Source: RNAcentral